This is a long non-coding RNA of Cucurbita maxima (winter squash), 290 nucleotides long. RefSeq lists it as uncharacterized. The record is from RefSeq and is a predicted model, not a curated record. Lineage: Eukaryota; Viridiplantae; Streptophyta; Magnoliopsida; Cucurbitales; Cucurbitaceae. The transcript is spliced from 2 exons.
GAACCAAUAAAAGCUUGCAUUAAAAGGUCUAUAAUAGGAUGACAGGUGGCUUCAUUUCAACCCUUGGAUUGAUGGCUUUGCAAAUCAUUUGCCUUUUUUGUAAGUUUCUCCUUUAACGUGCUGCACACAACCAAUAUAUUUUAACAUACCAUAUGAUUCUUCACUUGUACCAAACUCUUGUAGAGCCAUUGACUUUCUAUUAUGCAUGCAUCAUGCUCUCUAACCAAUCAAAUCAUGCCAUGUAAGCUAAUCUCUUUUUUCUUUAAUAUGCCUAAUGAUUGGACGGGUCA